CGCCAGCCCGCUCAGAAACUCAAAUGAAUUGACGGGGACCCGCACAAGCGGCGGAGCAUGCGGAUUAAUUCGAUGCAACGCGAAGAACCUUACCAAGGCUUGACAUAUAGAGGAAACGUCUGGAAACAGUCGCCCCGCAAGGUCUCUAUACAGGUGGUGCAUGGUUGUCGUCAGCUCGUGUCGUGAGAUGUUGGGUUAAGUCCCGCAACGAGCGCAACCCUCGUUCUAUGUUGCCAGCACGUAAUGGUGGGAACUCAUGGGAUACUGCCGGGGUCAACUCGGAGGAAGGUGGGGAUGACGUCAAAUCAUCAUGCCCCUUAUGUCUUGGGCUUCACGCAUGCUACAAUGGCCGGUACAAAGGGCUGCAAUACCGUAAGGUGGAGCGAAUCCCAAAAAGCCGGUCCCAGUUCGGAUUGAGGUCUGCAACUCGACCUCAUGAAGUCGGAGUCGCUAGUAAUCGCAGAUCAGCAACGCUGCGGUGAAUACGUUCCCGGGUCUU
RNAcentral lists this ribosomal RNA (499 nucleotides) under uncultured Microbacterium sp. RNAcentral's name for it is "bacterial SSU rRNA". It matches the Rfam family "Bacterial small subunit ribosomal RNA", at positions 887 to 1382 of the family's 1533-position model. Lineage: Bacteria; Bacillati; Actinomycetota; Actinomycetes; Micrococcales; Microbacteriaceae. The record is from RNAcentral.